UUCAAUAAUUAGUGUGACAACAGACGCCAUUAUGGCACGCUGUAUGAGCAGCCCGCAACCACCUGGAGAAAAUAGGGUCGCACGGUCAAUCGCGUUGAAAAAAAUAGGGUCGGCAGAAAAAAAUAGGGUCAGUCGGGAACCGGAACCACAGGUGUUUUUUUACGCCUUAGACAAAGUAAAAUAAUCUGGCAUUAGACAGAGUAAAAUAAUUAAGUAGGGCGCAUCAUGGGCGGAUUUAUGAGGGUUAACCCCCAUAACAUCUCUC
Paramuricea clavata is the source of this 265-nucleotide non-coding RNA. The record is from the annotation of a GenBank genome assembly. Lineage: Eukaryota; Metazoa; Cnidaria; Anthozoa; Malacalcyonacea; Plexauridae.